This 520-nucleotide ribosomal RNA is filed under the name uncultured Glomus. RNAcentral's name for it is "SSU rRNA". It matches the Rfam family "Eukaryotic small subunit ribosomal RNA", at positions 569 to 1089 of the family's 1831-position model. Lineage: Eukaryota; Fungi; Glomeromycota; Glomeromycetes; Glomerales; Glomeraceae. The record is from RNAcentral.
AGCAGCCGCGGUAAUUCCAGCUCCAAUAGCGUAUAUUAAAGUUGUUGCAGUUAAAAAGCUCGUAGUUGAAUUUCGGGAUCGACGGGUCGGUCGCGCCUCCGGUGUGUACUGGCCUGGUCGGUUCCUCCCUUCUGAAGAACCGCGAUGUCAUUAAUUUGGUGUCGUGGGGAAUCAGGACUGUUACUUUGAAAAAAUUAGAGUGUUUAAAGCAGGCAUUCGCUUGAAUACAUUAGCAUGGAAUAAUGAAAUAGGACGUUUGACCUUAUUUUGUUGGUUUCUAAGGUCGACGUAAUGAUUAAUAGGGAUAGUUGGGGGCAUUAGUAUUCAAUUGUCAGAGGUGAAAUUCUUGGAUUUAUUGAAGACUAACUACUGCGAAAGCAUUUGCCAAGGAUGUUUUCAUUAAUCAAGAACGAAAGUUAGGGGAUCGAAGACGAUCAGAUACCGUCGUAGUCUUAACCAUAAACUAAUGCCGACUAGGGAUCGGAUGAUGUUGAUUUUUUAAUGACUCAUUCGGCGCCUU